GAUGAACGCUGGCGGCGUGCCUAAGACAUGCAAGUCGAGUGGGUUUAGACCCACGGCGAACGGGUGAGUAAUACCUAGGAACGUUCUUUAAGCGGAGCAUAACCAGCCGAAAGGUUGGAUAAUUCUCCAUAUUGUCGCAAGACGAAAGUAGCAAUACGCUUAAAGUGCGGCCUGGGCACCAUCAGCUAGUUGGUAAGGUAAUGGCUUACCAAGGCUAUGACGGUUAGGGGGCCCGAGAGGGUGAACCCCCACACUGGGACUGCGACACGGCCCAGACUCCUACGGGAGGCAGCAGUUUGGAAUAUUGGACAAUGGGCGAAAGCCUGAUCCAGCGACGCCGCGUGGACGACGAAGGUCUUCGGAUUGUAAAGUCCUUUUGGCAGGGACGAUAAUGACGGUACCUCGCGAAUAAGCCCCGGCUAACUCUGUG
RNAcentral lists this ribosomal RNA (430 nucleotides) under uncultured bacterium. RNAcentral's name for it is "bacterial SSU rRNA". It matches the Rfam family "Bacterial small subunit ribosomal RNA", at positions 28 to 507 of the family's 1533-position model. The record is from RNAcentral.